This 429-nucleotide ribosomal RNA is filed under the name Bacteroidota bacterium. RNAcentral describes it as "Bacteroidetes bacterium partial 16S ribosomal RNA". It matches the Rfam family "Bacterial small subunit ribosomal RNA", at positions 355 to 776 of the family's 1533-position model. Lineage: Bacteria; Pseudomonadati; Bacteroidota. The record is from RNAcentral.
UAGGGAAUCUUCGGCAAUGGGGGGAACCCUGACCGAGCAACGCCGCGUGAGUGAAGAAGGUUUUCGGAUCGUAAAGCUCUGUUGUUAAGGAAGAACGAGUGUGAGAAUGGAAAGUUCAUGCUGUGACGGUACUUAAUCAGAAAGGGACGGCUAACUACGUGCCAGCAGCCGCGGUAAUACGUAGGUCCCGAGCGUUGUCCGGAUUUAUUGGGCGUAAAGCGAGCGCAGGCGGUUAGAAAAGUCUGAAGUGAAAGGCAGUGGCUCAACCAUUGUAGGCUUUGGAAACUGUUUAACUUGAGUGCAGAAGGGGAGAGUGGAAUUCCAUGUGUAGCGGUGAAAUGCGUAGAUAUAUGGAGGAACACCGGUGGCGAAAGCGGCUCUCUGGUCUGUAACUGACGCUGAGGCUCGAAAGCGUGGGGAGCGAACAGG